RNAcentral lists this ribosomal RNA (253 nucleotides) under uncultured bacterium. RNAcentral describes it as "partial 16S ribosomal RNA". It matches the Rfam family "Bacterial small subunit ribosomal RNA", at positions 524 to 776 of the family's 1533-position model. The record is from RNAcentral.
UACGGAGGGUGCAAGCGUUGUCCGGAUUUAUUGGGUUUAAAGGGUGCGUAGGCGGCUUAUUAAGUCAGGGGUGAAAGACUAUUGCUUAACAAUGGCAGUGCCUUUGAUACUGAUAAGCUUGAGUACAGCUGAGGCAGAUGGAACGGGUGGUGUAGCGGUGAAAUGCAUAGAUACCAUCCAGAACACCGAUUGCGAAGGCAGUCUGCUAAACUGUAACUGACGCUGAGGCACGAAAGCGUGGGGAUCGAACAGG